RNAcentral lists this ribosomal RNA (498 nucleotides) under uncultured bacterium. RNAcentral's name for it is "partial 16S ribosomal RNA". It matches the Rfam family "Bacterial small subunit ribosomal RNA", at positions 30 to 523 of the family's 1533-position model. The record is from RNAcentral.
AUUGAACGCUGUCGGCAUGCCUUACACACGCUAGUCGAACGGUAACAGGUCUUCGGAUGCUGACGAGUGGCGAACGGGUGAGUAAUACAUCGGAACGUGCCUAGUAGUGGGGGAUAACUACUCGAAAGAGUGGCUAAUACCGCAUGAGAUCUACGGAUGAAAGCAGGGGAUCGCAAGACCUUGUGCUACUAGAGCGGCCGAUGGCAGAUUAGGUAGUUGGUGGGAUAAAAGCUUACCAAGCCGACGAUCUGUAGCUGGUCUGAGAGGACGAUCGACCACACUGGGACAGAGAAACGGCCCAGACUCCAACGAGAGGCAGCAGUGGGGAAUUAUGGACAAUGGGCGCAAGCCUGAUCCACCAAUGCAGCGUGCAGGAUUAAGGCAUUCGGGUUGUAAACUGCUUUUGUACGGAACGAAAAGCCCCGGGUUAAUACCCUGGGGUCAUGACGGUACCGUAAGAAUAAGCACCGGCUAACUACGUGCCAGCCGCCGCAGUAA